GGCGCUGUGGCUUAGUUGGUUAAAGCGUCUGUCUAGUAAACAGGAGAUCCCGAGUUUGAAUCCCAGCAGUGCCU
Molecule: non-coding RNA, 74 nt
Organism: Salmo salar (Atlantic salmon)
Lineage: Eukaryota; Metazoa; Chordata; Actinopteri; Salmoniformes; Salmonidae
Source: Rfam